RNAcentral lists this ribosomal RNA (1492 nucleotides) under uncultured bacterium. RNAcentral's name for it is "bacterial SSU rRNA". It matches the Rfam family "Bacterial small subunit ribosomal RNA". The record is from RNAcentral.
GGCUCAGGACGAACGCUGGCGGCGUGCCUAAUACAUGCAAGUCGAGCGGACAGAUGGGAGCUUGCUCCCUGAUGUUAGCGGCGGACGGGUGAGUAACACGUGGGUAACCUGCCUGUAAGACUGGGAUAACUCCGGGAAACCGGGGCUAAUACCGGAUGCUUGUUUGAACCGCAUGGUUCAAACAUAAAAGGUGGCUUCGGCUACCACUUACAGAUGGACCCGCGGCGCAUUAGCUAGUUGGUGAGGUAAUGGCUCACCAAGGCGACGAUGCGUAGCCGACCUGAGAGGGUGAUCGGCCACACUGGGACUGAGACACGGCCCAGACUCCUACGGGAGGCAGCAGUAGGGAAUCUUCCGCAAUGGACGAAAGUCUGACGGAGCAACGCCGCGUGAGUGAUGAAGGUUUUCGGAUCGUAAAGCUCUGUUGUUAGGGAAGAACAAGUACCGUUCGAAUAGGGCGGUACCUUGACGGUACCUAACCAGAAAGCCACGGCUAACUACGUGCCAGCAGCCGCGGUAAUACGUAGGUGGCAAGCGUUGUCCGGAAUUAUUGGGCGUAAAGGGCUCGCAGGCGGUUUCUUAAGUCUGAUGUGAAAGCCCCCGGCUCAACCGGGGAGGGUCAUUGGAAACUGGGGAACUUGAGUGCAGAAGAGGAGAGUGGAAUUCCACGUGUAGCGGUGAAAUGCGUAGAGAUGUGGAGGAACACCAGUGGCGAAGGCGACUCUCUGGUCUGUAACUGACGCUGAGGAGCGAAAGCGUGGGGAGCGAACAGGAUUAGAUACCCUGGUAGUCCACGCCGUAAACGAUGAGUGCUAAGUGUUAGGGGGUUUCCGCCCCUUAGUGCUGCAGCUAACGCAUUAAGCACUCCGCCUGGGGAGUACGGUCGCAAGACUGAAACUCAAAGGAAUUGACGGGGGCCCGCACAAGCGGUGGAGCAUGUGGUUUAAUUCGAAGCAACGCGAAGAACCUUACCAGGUCUUGACAUCCUCUGACAAUCCUAGAGAUAGGACGUCCCCUUCGGGGGCAGAGUGACAGGUGGUGCAUGGUUGUCGUCAGCUCGUGUCGUGAGAUGUUGGGUUAAGUCCCGCAACGAGCGCAACCCUUGAUCUUAGUUGCCAGCAUUCAGUUGGGCACUCUAAGGUGACUGCCGGUGACAAACCGGAGGAAGGUGGGGAUGACGUCAAAUCAUCAUGCCCCUUAUGACCUGGGCUACACACGUGCUACAAUGGACAGAACAAAGGGCAGCGAAACCGCGAGGUUAAGCCAAUCCCACAAAUCUGUUCUCAGUUCGGAUCGCAGUCUGCAACUCGACUGCGUGAAGCUGGAAUCGCUAGUAAUCGCGGAUCAGCAUGCCGCGGUGGAAUACGUUCCCGGGCCUUGUACACACCGCCCGUCACACCACGAGAGUUUGUAACACCCGAAGUCGGUGAGGUAACCUUUUAGGAGCCAGCCGCCGAAGGUGGGACAGAUGAUUGGGGUGAAGUCGUAACAG